This 195-nucleotide long non-coding RNA is filed under the name Theropithecus gelada (gelada). RNAcentral describes it as "lncRNA (ENSTGEG00000004974.1)". Lineage: Eukaryota; Metazoa; Chordata; Mammalia; Primates; Cercopithecidae. The record is from RNAcentral.
CCCACAUACAAGAAUUCAAGCUGGUUUUCCAGGGUGGAGACCAUGAAGAAAUCCCAAUCGGAUUCACUGGAAUUCAUUUGGGUACGGUGAAGAAGAUGCCUGUGAUGAUACGCGGUUGAACAUUGUUUUCACAUUUAAUGAAGUAAUGGCUAGUGGACCGGGUCACCUGACAGUACCAGUCUACCUACAGGCUCA